UGAGGAAUAUUGGUCAAUGGACGAGAGUCUGAACCAGCCAAGUAGCGUGAAGGAUGAAGGUCCUACGGAUUGUAAACUUCUUUUAUAAGGGAAUAAACCCUCCCACGUGUGGGAGCUUGUAUGUACCUUAUGAAUAAGCAUCGGCUAACUCCGUGCCAGCAGCCGCGGUAAUACGGAGGAUGCGAGCGUUAUCCGGAUUUAUUGGGUUUAAAGGGAGCGCAGACGGGUCGUUAAGUCAGCUGUGAAAGUUUGGGGCUCAACCUUAAAAUUGCAGUUGAUACUGGCGUCCUUGAGUGCGGUUGAGGUGUGCGGAAUUCGUGGUGUAGCGGUGAAAUGCUUAGAUAUCACGAAGAACUCCGAUUGCGAAGGCAGCGCACUAAUCCGUAACUGACGUUCAUGCUCGAAAGUGUGGGUAUCAAACAGG
Molecule: ribosomal RNA, 424 nt
Filed under: uncultured Bacteroides sp.
Lineage: Bacteria; Pseudomonadati; Bacteroidota; Bacteroidia; Bacteroidales; Bacteroidaceae
Description: bacterial SSU rRNA
Rfam family: Bacterial small subunit ribosomal RNA
Source: RNAcentral